This 740-nucleotide long non-coding RNA is filed under the name Oncorhynchus mykiss (rainbow trout). RNAcentral describes it as "lncRNA (ENSOMYG00000053201.1)". Lineage: Eukaryota; Metazoa; Chordata; Actinopteri; Salmoniformes; Salmonidae. The record is from RNAcentral.
AUGAUACACUUAGUUUUCUACCCACCUCCUACCUUACUUUUAUCAUGUGCACGUAGUAAGUACACUCUCAUGUACAUGUAAAUGCAUACAUAUACUCUGAAAUGGAUAUAUCACGUUAAAUAUCAAUAAUAUGUUUAAUCUGGUGUAAACAUUUGUAUCUUAGUUAAUCCAUUCUGUCAUUAAAGGAUGUCUGAGCUAUUUCUUUUUGUUUCAGAUGAUGCCAAAUAUCCCUCAGAUGCCACAGAUUCCAAACGUGAGUACAACAUUUAAUCACUCAAAAAAAAAAUAAUAAUAAUUUCAGACAUUUUCGUAUUGAUGUUGGAAUUUCUGUAUCUUUUUGCUUUAUUUUUGUUUUAUCUUUUCACAGCUGUUCCCGAAUGAAUACCAACCACAAACUGUGCCACAGCAAAGACCCAAUAUCCCAUUCCCCCCAUACAACUCUCAACUUCCUCAUUCCCAGGAUCCUUUGCAGCCAGCUCAGCAGGAGCAGACAGUGCAGACAGGCCAGGUACCUUCUGUGCAACCAUAGAAUGGAAACUGAAUGUAAGUAUGCUGUAAAGUCCUGUAAAGUCCAAAAUGAAGACACAAUAUAUUUUGUUCAUUACAUUAUUCCUGCUGUUCUUUUAGUUACCAGCUUGAAAGAAGUACAAAGUCUGCCGACCCAGAGAAGACCAGAUGAUUUGCUACUUCAAUAUGGCCUAUUGAUAUUAAUUGGGGUAUUUACAGUAGUAUGGUUAUGA